Long non-coding RNA from Ananas comosus (pineapple), 895 nucleotides. RefSeq lists it as uncharacterized. NCBI's taxonomy places the organism in Eukaryota, Viridiplantae, Streptophyta, Magnoliopsida, Poales, Bromeliaceae. The transcript has 3 exons. The record is from RefSeq and is a predicted model, not a curated record.
CGCCGCUUCGUGUUGAAAUCCCUUAUUUGUGCAUCCCCUGUUUAUUCUGAUCCCGAGCUACGAUAAAGUUUGGUCUUACCAAGAAUGCAAUAGGUGCAGUGGAUGGUACGCAUAUUCCGGUGGUUGUCCGAAAGAGCAAGCAAUCACGAUUUAGGUGUCGCAAAGGAUUUACAUCACAGAAUAUGAUGGCUGCUGUAUCCUUUGAUCAUAUAUUUCUAUUUGUAUGUACAUGAUGGGAAGGCUCAGCAGCUGAUAUGAGAGUAUUAAGAUGGGCUUGUGAAAGUGAAGGGUUUACUGUUCCCAAAGGCAAAUAUUACUUGGUAGAUUCUGGAUAUGCUAAUAUAGAUAAAUUUCUUGCGCUAUAUCACGAAGAGAGAUACCAUCUUAGUCAAUUUGAGGGUAAUACACGUGGCCGCACACAUCGCAGUCCGCGGGACGUACAAUCAUCGGCAUGCUCAACUACGAAAUGUUGUAAAGAAGACUUUCAGCAUAUUGAAAAAGUGUUUCAAGAUUCUAAAUCAUGCAACUCUAUUCCUCUAUAAAGUCCAAUGUCUUAUUGGUAUGGCAUAUUGUGUCAUACAUAACUUUAUUUGACGACAUCACGGAGCUGAUAGAUUUUUUACUGAAGACCUUAACCCAUCGUCUCCUAAGGAUGAAGAAGAAGACCCGAGCGAUUUCGGCGUCACAUCGGACUCACAUCAGGGCGACGAUAUUCGAACUAGUAUCACGGACCAGUUAUGGAAUAAUAGAAGUUAAUUAUUUAAACUGUCGGUUGCAUUGAAUUAUAUUAAAUAGGUUUGAUUCCAAAUGUGAUAAUUAUAUGUGCUUGUAUGGAAUAUGUAGACAUAUUUCGCUUUGAUUGCAUAUUUAGUAAUACCUGCUACACUUUUGUAAU